This 625-nucleotide ribosomal RNA is filed under the name uncultured organism. RNAcentral's name for it is "bacterial SSU rRNA". It matches the Rfam family "Bacterial small subunit ribosomal RNA", at positions 74 to 682 of the family's 1533-position model. The record is from RNAcentral.
UUCAGGGCGUUGAGUAGCAUGGCAGACGGGUGAGGAGCGCGUAUCUGACUGGACUCAGGCUGGGGGAUAGGCCCGCGAAAGGGGGUUGAAUACCGCAUGUGCUCGGUGCUGUGAGGGCAUCGAGGAAAGCUGGCCUCUGCGGGCACGCUGAUGGCCUGAGACAGGGAUGCGUCCUAUUAGCUAGCUGGUGGGGUAAGGGCCUACCAGGGCGACGAUGGGUAGCUGGUCUGAGAGGGUGAUCAGCCACACUGGGACUGCGACACGGCCCAGACUCCUACGGGAGGCAGCAGUGGGGAAUUUUGCGCAAUGGGCGCAAGCCUGACGCAGCAACGCCGCGUGCAUGACGACGCCUUUCGAGGUGUAAAGUGCUGUCGACCGGGACGAAGGGGCGAGGGUGAACAGCUUUCGCGCAUGACGGUACCGGUGGAGGAAGCCCCGGCUAACUCCGUGCCAGCAGCCGCGGUAGGACGGAGGGGGCGAGCGUUGUUCGGAAUUACUGGGCGUAAAGCGCGCGUAUGCGGUGCAGCAAGUGGUGCGUGAAAGCCCUCGGCUUAACCGGGGACGGGCGUGCCAAACUGUUGGACUGGAGUGCCGGAGGGGGAGGCUGAAUUCCUGGUGGAGCGGU